GAGAGUAGGUAGUCUGCACGAGCGCACCCUUAUAUUUAGUUGCCAGCACAUAAUGGUGGGGACUCUAAAUAGACUGCCCGGAAUAACCGGGAGGAAGGUGGGGAUGACGUCAAGUCCUCAUGGCCCUUACGUGUUGGGCUACACACGUGCUACAAUGGCAUCUACAACAGGAAGCAAAACGGCAACGUUAAGCAAAUCCCGAAAAGAUGCCUCAGUUCGGAUUGCACUCUGCAACUCGAGUGCAUGAAGCUGGAAUUACUAGUAAUCGUAGAUCAGCGUGCUACGGUGAAUGCGUUCCCGGGUCUUGUACACACCGCCCGUCACACCAUGGGAGUUGGUUCUACCUUAAGGCAAGGUUUUAAACCCUUGACCACGGUAUAGUCAGCGACUGGGGUGAAGUCGUAACAAGGUAGCCGUAGGGGAACCUGCGGCUGGAUUACCUCCUUUCU
This 449-nucleotide ribosomal RNA is filed under the name uncultured Pelagibacterales bacterium. Its description in RNAcentral is "bacterial SSU rRNA". It matches the Rfam family "Bacterial small subunit ribosomal RNA", at positions 1072 to 1533 of the family's 1533-position model. Lineage: Bacteria; Pseudomonadati; Pseudomonadota; Alphaproteobacteria; Candidatus Pelagibacterales. The record is from RNAcentral.